RNAcentral lists this ribosomal RNA (479 nucleotides) under uncultured bacterium. RNAcentral's name for it is "partial 16S ribosomal RNA". It matches the Rfam family "Bacterial small subunit ribosomal RNA", at positions 28 to 507 of the family's 1533-position model. The record is from RNAcentral.
GACGAACGCUGGCGGCGUGCUUAACACAUGCAAGUCGAACGAAGCUUGAUUACGGAUUCUUCGGAUGAAGUAUGAUAUGACUGAGUGGCGGACGGGUGAGUAACGCGUGAGUAACCUGCCCUUCAGAGGGGGAUAGCGUUUGGAAACGAACGGUAAUACCGCAUAAUGUAUUUUGACCGCAUGAUCGAAAUACCAAAGAUUUAUCGCUGAAGGAUGGACUCGCGUCUGAUUAGGUAGUUGGUGGGGUAACGGCCUACCAAGCCGACGACCAGUAGCCGGACUGAGAGGUUGAUCGGCCACAUUGGGACUGAGACACGGCCCAGACUCCUACGGGAGGCAGCAGUGGGGAAUAUUGCACAAUGGGCGCAAGCCGGAUGCAGCAACGCCGCGUGAAGGAAGACGGUUUUCGGAGUGUAAACUUCUGUUCUUAGUGAAGAAUAAUGACGGUAGCUAAGGAGCAAGCCACGGCUAACUACGUG